RNAcentral lists this ribosomal RNA (497 nucleotides) under uncultured bacterium. RNAcentral's name for it is "partial 16S ribosomal RNA". It matches the Rfam family "Bacterial small subunit ribosomal RNA", at positions 28 to 507 of the family's 1533-position model. The record is from RNAcentral.
GAUGAACGCUGGCGGCGUGCCUAAUACAUGCAAGUCGAGCGAACAGACGAGGAGCUUGCUCCUCUGACGUUAGCGGCGGACGGGUGAGUAACACGUUGAUAACCUACCUAUAAGACUGGGAUAACUUCGGUAAACCGGAGCUAAUACCGGAUAAUAUAUUGAACCUCAUGGUUCAAUAGUGAAAGACGGUUUUGCUGUCACUUAUAGAUGGAUCCGCGCCGCAUUAGCUAGUUGGUAAGGUAACGGCUUACCAAGGCAACGAUGCGUAGCCGACCUGAGAGGGUGAUCGGCCACACUGGAACUGAGACACGGUCCAGACUCCUACGGGAGGCAGCAGUAGGGAAUCUUCCGCAAUGGGCGAAAGCUUGACGGAGCAACGCCGCGUGAGUGAUGAAGGUCUUCGGAUCGUAAAACUCUGUUAUUAGGGAAGAACAAAUGUGUAAGUAACUAUGCACGUCUUGACGGUACCUAAUCAGAAAGCCACGGCUAACUACGUG